Molecule: ribosomal RNA, 253 nt
Filed under: uncultured bacterium
Lineage: Bacteria
Description: partial 16S ribosomal RNA
Rfam family: Bacterial small subunit ribosomal RNA
Source: RNAcentral
UACGUAGGAGGCGAGCGUUGUCCGGAAUUACUGGGCGUAAAGAGCGCGUAGGCGGCGCGGGAAGUCCGUGGUGAAAGCCCGAGGCUCAACUUCGGGUCGGCCAUGGAUACUCCUGGGCUCGAGCACUGUAGAGGCAGGUGGAAUUCCGGGUGUAGCGGUGGAAUGCGCAGAUAUCAGGAGGAACACCAAUUGCGAAGGCAGCUCGCUGGGACGUAACUGACGCUGAGACGCGAAAGCGUGGGGAGCAAACAGG